Molecule: ribosomal RNA, 978 nt
Filed under: Triticum aestivum (bread wheat)
Lineage: Eukaryota; Viridiplantae; Streptophyta; Magnoliopsida; Poales; Poaceae
Description: partial small subunit ribosomal RNA
Source: RNAcentral
AUGAGGUAUCUUUAUCUUGUUAAAUUGGAAAGAGCGACUCAUUGUGGUACAAAUACAUUGCUUACGGACAAAAGGCAUCUAAAAGAACUAAGGCUAGCGUGGACUGAACGUGGAGAGGGGUCAUAUUCAGAAGAAGAUGUUAGCAAUACUGAGAAGGUCUUUGAGAAGCUAGUACCUCCAUGCAACCUGGAAGACUUGUGUGUUUUUGGAUUCUUUGGUCAGCAGUAUCCCUCCUGGUUUGGUGCCACCUGCUUGUCUUCACUGAUAAAAUUGGUCCUGGAUGAAUUAUGGUCGUGUGUGGAUCUUCCACCGAUUGGGCAACUACCCAACUUGAAAUUCCUGAAAAUUGGGGUAGCAGAUGCAGUUACCAAGGUUGGAUCUGAAUUUGUUGGCUGCAAGAAGGGUGAUCAUGUAUGUAAUGAGUUGGUUGCUUUCCCUAAACUUGAAUGGUUGAUCUUCACAGAUAUGCCCAACUGGGAGGCCUGGUCUUUUUUUGAGGAAGAAGUUGUUGAUGAUGACCAAGGAGAAGAGGAUGGAGCCGCUGAAAUUCGGAAAGAUGAUAUCCAAUUUGCAAGAUAUCAAAUGUUUCCUCAUUUGAUGGUGUUGGAUCUCCACAAUUGCCCUAAGCUGAGGGCUCUUCCGCGACAGCUUGGAGAGGAGGCCGUCAGUUUGAAAGAGCUAAUAUUAUUUGGAGCGAACAACUUGGAGGUCGUGGAGGACCUCCCACUGCUCUCUGAGCGCCUUUAUAUUGGGGAUUGUGAAGGCCUGGAGAGGAUCUGCAACGUCCCUAAUGUGACAGACCUGCGUGUAUAUGGAUGUCCAAACUUGAGCUAUGUAGAGGGGCUGAGCAGUUUGCAACAGCUGGGGAUGGACGAGGAUAUGCAAGAGAUAUCUUCAUAUUGGGCGACUGGGCUUCAAGAGCAGCACCAUGGACUUCAUGGCGAAGAUCUGGAUAUCUACACAGUUGUUAGGAAGUAG